UGAGGUUGGACCUUAGGAAGUUGCUU
This 26-nucleotide non-coding RNA is filed under the name Rattus norvegicus (Norway rat). Lineage: Eukaryota; Metazoa; Chordata; Mammalia; Rodentia; Muridae. The record is from RNAcentral.